UAGGGAAUCUUCGGCAAUGGACGGAAGUCUGACCGAGCAACGCCGCGUGAGUGAAGAAGGUUUUCGGAUCGUAAAGCUCUGUUGUAAGAGAAGAACGAGUGUGAGAGUGGAAAGUUCACACUGUGACGGUAUCUUACCAGAAAGGGACGGCUAACUACGUGCCAGCAGCCGCGGUAAUACGUAGGUCCCGAGCGUUGUCCGGAUUUAUUGGGCGUAAAGCGAGCGCAGGCGGUUAGAUAAGUCUGAAGUUAAAGGCUGUGGCUUAACCAUAGUAGGCUUUGGAAACUGUUUAACUUGAGUGCAAGAGGGGAGAGUGGAAUUCCAUGUGUAGCGGUGAAAUGCGUAGAUAUAUGGAGGAACACCGGUGGCGAAAGCGGCUCUCUGGCUUGUAACUGACGCUGAGGCUCGAAAGCGUGGGGAGCAAACAGGAUUAGAUACCCUGGUAGUCCACGCUGUAAACGAUGAGUGCUAGGUGUUGGGUCCUUUCCGGGACUCAGUGCCGCAGCUAACGCAUUAAGCACUCCGCCUGGGGAGUACGACCGCAAGGUUG
This 550-nucleotide ribosomal RNA is filed under the name uncultured bacterium. RNAcentral describes it as "bacterial SSU rRNA". It matches the Rfam family "Bacterial small subunit ribosomal RNA", at positions 355 to 896 of the family's 1533-position model. The record is from RNAcentral.